AGAGUUUGAUCCUGGCUCAGGAUGAACGCUGGCGGUGUGCCUUAUACAUGCAAGUCGAACGAUGAAGCAGAGCUUGCUCUGUGGAUUAGUGGCAAACGGGUGAGUAAUAGAUAGGUAACCUUCCUUGAAGAUGGGGAUAUACGGUAGAAAUACCGGGCAAUACCCAAUAAUGUCAUUUCCCUUAAGGGUUAUGAAGAAAGAUGCAAAUCGCUUUGAGACGGACUUAUCUCCUAUCAGCUAGUUGGUGAGGUAAUGGCUCACCAAGGCUACGACGGGUAGCUGGUCUGAGAGGACGGUCAGCCACAUUGGGACUGAGACACGGCCCAGACUCCUACGGGAGGCAGCAGUCGGGAAUAUUCGGCAAUGGGCGAAAGCCUGACCGAGCGACACCGCGUGAAUGACGAAGGCCUUCGGGUCGUAAAAUUCUUUUACUUGGGAAGAACGCAUAGCAAUAUGUUUGACGGUACCAAGUGAAUAAGCCCCAGCUAACUACGUGCCAGCAGCUGCGGUAAUACGUAGGGGGCGAGCGUUAUCCGGAAUCACUGGGCGUAAAGGGUCCGUAGGCGUCCUGUUAAGUUAGGAGUUAAAUCGCAAGGCUCAACCUUGCGGCUGCUCCUAAUACUGGCAGGAUAGAGGGUAGGAGACGGAAGUGGAAUUCCUGGUGGAGAGGUAAAAUCCGUAGAUAUCAGGAGGAACACCUGUGGCGUAGGCGGCUUCCGAGUCUACUCCUGACGCUGAUGGACGAAAGCUAGGGGAGCAAACAGGAUUAGAUACCCUGGUAGUCCUAGCUGUAAACGAUGAAUACUUGGUAGUGGAUUGUACACACUUUUCACCGCCGAAGCUAACGCGUUAAGUAUUCCGCCUGGGAAGUACGGCCGCAAGGUUGAAACUCAAAGGAAUUGACGGGUCCCCGCACAAGCCGAGGCAUGUGGAUUAAUUCGAUGCAACACGAAGAACCUUACCUGGGCUUGACAUGUUUUGGAAAGCCGUAUGAAAGUAUGGCCCUUUUAGGUUUACCUAAAACCGAUUCACAGGUGGUGCAUGGUUGUCGUCAGCUCGUGUCGUGAGAUGUAAGGUUAAGUCCUUAAACGAGCGCAACCUCUGUCGCUAGUUGCCACCAGUUCGGCUGAGCACUCUAGCGAGACCGCUAGCGAUAAGCUAGAGGAAGAUGGAGAUGACGUCAAAUCCUCACGUCCCUUAUGUCCAGGGCUUCACACAUGCGACAAUGGUAGAGACAGCAGGUUGCGACGAGGUAACUCUGAGCUAAUCCUUAAACUCUGCCUCAGUACAGAUCGAGGGCUGAAAUUCGGCCUCGUGAAGAUGGAGUUGCUAGUAAACGCAGGUCAGCUAUACUGCGUUGAAUACGUUCCCGGGGAUUGUACACACCGCCCGUCACACCACCCGAGUCGUGUGCACCCGAAGUCGGAUACCCCAACCUUUUAGGAGGGGACUGCCGAAGGUGUGCUCGGUAAGGAGGGUGAAGUCGAAACAAGGCA
Molecule: ribosomal RNA, 1496 nt
Filed under: metagenome
Description: bacterial SSU rRNA
Rfam family: Bacterial small subunit ribosomal RNA
Source: RNAcentral